Long non-coding RNA from Zophobas morio, 456 nucleotides. RefSeq lists it as uncharacterized. NCBI's taxonomy places the organism in Eukaryota, Metazoa, Arthropoda, Insecta, Coleoptera, Tenebrionidae. The record is from RefSeq and is a predicted model, not a curated record. The transcript has 4 exons.
GUUAUAGUAUUCGAUGGCCACACAUCUUUUCGACAGCGAAUAGUUCUAUCCACAUUAAGUGGUCGUCCUAUAAAGAUCAAAAACAUAAGGCACAAACAACGGGACCCUGGUGUAGUAGACUAUGAGGUUAGAUUACUUAAACUUCUUGAACAAAUUACAAACGGAACAGUUGUUAAAAUAAGUUAUACGGGGACAUGUAUUAUUUACCGUCCCGGACUUUUAUCACAAAAGCAGAAGGUUGUGUUUAAUUGUGGAAAUGACAGAGCUAUUGGGUAUUUUCUUGAAGCUUUAGUAAUGCUGGCCCCCUUUUGUAAGGAGCCUAUUAACGUUACACUUCAAGGUAUCACGAAUGAUAACGUGGAUCCUUCGGUCGAUAUUAUUAGAACAGUCACUUUACCUCUCCUUAAGCGCUUUGGGAUUGAGGGAGAUAUGCUACUUAAAGUCGUCAAACGAGGC